Molecule: ribosomal RNA, 467 nt
Filed under: uncultured bacterium
Lineage: Bacteria
Description: partial 16S ribosomal RNA
Rfam family: Bacterial small subunit ribosomal RNA
Source: RNAcentral
ACGAACGCUGGCGGCGUGCUUAACACCUGCAAGUCGAACGAUGAAGCACCAGCUUGCUGGUGUGGAUUAGUGGCGAACGGGUGAGUAACACGUGAGUAACCUGCCCCUCACUCUGGGAUAAGCCUGGGAAACUGGGUCUAAUACUGGAUACGACCGAUCUCCGCAUGGAGUGUUGGUGGAAAGUUUUUGUGGUGGGGGAUGGACUCGCGGCCUAUCAGCUUGUUGGUGGGGUAAUGGCCUACCAAGGCGACGACGGGUAGCCGGCCUGAGAGGGCGACCGGCCACACUGGGACUGAGACACGGCCCAGACUCCUACGGGAGGCAGCAGUGGGGAAUAUUGCACAAUGGGCGAAAGCCUGAUGCAGCGACGCCGCGUGAGGGAUGACGGCCUUCGGGUUGUAAACCUCUUUCACCAGGGACGAAGCUAACGUGACGGUACCUGGAGAAGAAGCACCGGCUAACUACGU